AUUGAACGCUGGCGGCAUGCUUUACACAUGCAAGUCGAACGGCAGCGCGGGCUUCGGCCUGGCGGCGAGUGGCGAACGGGUGAGUAAUGCAUCGGAACGUGCCCAGUAGUGGGGGAUAGCCCAGCGAAAGCCGGAUUAAUACCGCAUACGACCUGAGGGUGAAAGCGGGGGACCGAAAGGCCUCGCGCUAUUGGAGCGGCCGAUGUCGGAUUAGCUAGUUGGUGGGGUAAAGGCUUACCAAGGCGACGAUCCGUAGCUGGUCUGAGAGGACGACCAGCCACACUGGGACUGAGACACGGCCCAGACUCCUACGGGAGGCAGCAGUGGGGAAUUUUGGACAAUGGGGGCAACCCCGAUCCAGCCAUGCCGCGUGCGGGAAGAAGGCCUUCGGGUUGUAAACCGCUUUUGUUCGGGAAGAAAUCCUCUGGGCUAAUACCCCGGGGGGAUGACGGUACCGGAAGAAUAAGCACCGGCUAACUACGUG
This 484-nucleotide ribosomal RNA is filed under the name uncultured bacterium. RNAcentral's name for it is "partial 16S ribosomal RNA". It matches the Rfam family "Bacterial small subunit ribosomal RNA", at positions 29 to 507 of the family's 1533-position model. The record is from RNAcentral.